This 28-nucleotide non-coding RNA is filed under the name Rattus norvegicus (Norway rat). The record is from RNAcentral. Lineage: Eukaryota; Metazoa; Chordata; Mammalia; Rodentia; Muridae.
UUAUAGGAAAACAAAAACAAACAGGUGA